AUUAAGUCUUGUCUUGACGUGUUAAUUACGUAAAGUACGAAUAUGCCAAUCUUCUAUGAAUGCUUUUAUACGCUGCUAAUGGUGGUGCUACAAUCAAGUUUAGCGUCCCAACAUUCUGAGAUUGCCGCUAAAAUUGUUGGGCAAAAGCAAGUGGCGGAAGGUUGCAGCAGCACACGCCAAGAUUGGAGCAUUGUGCGAGGAAAACGGACGCAUGACGCGAACACAUUCGCGAGACGCUUAUUUUUCAGAGGCGAGGCGAGCUGGCGAACGUGUCCCCCACCACAGCAUGACAGUGACCCAAAUGGUGCGCCGGCGCAGUCAGUUCCGUGAGCCUGUGUCGCCUGCUCGCCCGCGCUCGAGCUCCACACCACGUUCUCUCGCGUAGCCGUACGCCGACAUUCAGUGUGAUUACCUUAUGAUUUUACUGUGCAAAAUGCUGUGAGUGACCGCCGUUCACGUGCCGUAGUUUGACACGGAUGGAUAAUUUUUAAAUAAAGGUGUUUUGCUUACUGAAUAAUGACAAAUGUCAAGUGAUCAACAAAAAUUCGUCGGAGAUGGUAAUAGUGAGCGACGCACGGUGCGGCGGUAGUCGGGAGACAUCGUUAGGAGUACCCGGGCGGAUCCCAGGUGGCCGUAUAUCAGGAGAGAUAGGGCAGCACGC
Molecule: long non-coding RNA, 661 nt
Organism: Plodia interpunctella (Indianmeal moth)
Lineage: Eukaryota; Metazoa; Arthropoda; Insecta; Lepidoptera; Pyralidae
Exons: 3
Source: RefSeq, a predicted model, not a curated record